GUCCACGCCGUAAACUAUGAAUACUAAGUGUCGGCGGGUUACCGCCGGUGCCGCAGCUAACGCAUUAAGUAUUCCGCCUGGGAAGUACGGCCGCAAGGUUGAAACUCAAAGGAAUUGACGGGGCCGCACAAGCGGUGGAGCAUGUGGUUUAAUUCGACGCAACGCGAAGAACCUUACCCAGGCUGGACAUGCAGGUAGUAGAAGGGUGAAAGCCCACGAGGUAGCAAUACCAUCCUGCUCAGGUGCUGCAUGGCUGUCGU
This 260-nucleotide ribosomal RNA is filed under the name uncultured bacterium. RNAcentral's name for it is "partial 16S ribosomal RNA". It matches the Rfam family "Bacterial small subunit ribosomal RNA", at positions 793 to 1055 of the family's 1533-position model. The record is from RNAcentral.